Gekko japonicus is the source of this 770-nucleotide long non-coding RNA. RefSeq lists it as uncharacterized. The transcript is spliced from 3 exons. The record is from RefSeq and is a predicted model, not a curated record. NCBI's taxonomy places the organism in Eukaryota, Metazoa, Chordata, Lepidosauria, Squamata, Gekkonidae.
CCAGGCAGGAGCACCCGCUGAGUACGCUGUGCCCCAUGGAAAGCACUUGCCAGCCAGUCAGGUCACCCAUGGGUAGCCCCCCCUUCAAGGCAAACUUUGAGGAUGAUGAUGAUGAGGAGGAGGAGGAGGAGGAAGAAGGCGAUCUCCACGAAUCCUGUUCUGGAUGAGGGGUGCCUUGCAUUUGGGAGCUCCCCAGUCACACAGUUCCAGUCGGAGGCAGCCAUGGGAAGCGGUCGCCCCAACAGCCAUCUGCCUCCAGGGACGCUUUUCUAAGUUCGCCUCGGACGCUGCCAUUCUCGCCAUCUCCAGCACCACUUGUUUGUAGCACACAAAGGACCAGCCAAUCUUCCUCAGCCCUCCAGGCGCAGCUCCCUGAUUGGCCGGCAUCACCUUACUUAACUCCGAGCCUCAAUUAGCCUUAGGGUCACCAGCAGUGCUCCCGUCGCUUGGCCUGAGUCACCUGAGGGGGGACUGCUCCACGUUCUGUCUGCAGCAGGGGGUGUUCUGGGACCUCCCGUGGGUGUAUCCGGUAAUGGUGCUGGGCCUUGUUUGAAGGCCACACCCCUGCAGGCCAAGAGGGGCAUCCCGCCUCUGGCCAGGUGUGCUACUAUGCAGGGAAACUAGUUCCAAUCCCAUUUUCCCCCUGCUCCUUGGAGGGGAGCUGUGUGUUGCAGGGGUACAGAGGAAGUCUGGCCUCUGCUGCCAGCUCUCCGCAUGGUCUGGUGCGAAGGCAGCAAAUCCCCCCCUAUGCCCUUCCCCUUGUCUCUCAU